UACAGAGGGUGCGAGCGUUAAUCGGAAUUACUGGGCGUAAAGCGUGCGUAGACGGUUAUUUAAGUCGGAUGUGAAAGCCCCGGGCUCAACCUGGGAAUUGCAUUCGAGACUGAAUAGCUAGGGUGCGGAAGAGGGAAGCGGAAUUUCCGGUGUAGCGGUGAAAUGCGUAGAUAUCGGAAGGAACAUCAGUGGCGAAAGCGGCUUCCUGGUCCAGCACCGACGUUCAGGCACGAAAGCGUGGGGAGCAAACAGG
RNAcentral lists this ribosomal RNA (253 nucleotides) under uncultured bacterium. RNAcentral's name for it is "partial 16S ribosomal RNA". It matches the Rfam family "Bacterial small subunit ribosomal RNA", at positions 524 to 776 of the family's 1533-position model. The record is from RNAcentral.